AGUGAACGCUGGCGGUAGGCCUAACACAUGCAAGUCGAACGGCAGCACAGGAGAGCUUGCUCUCUGGGUGGCGAGUGGCGGACGGGUGAGGAAUACAUCGGAAUCUACUUUGUCGUGGGGGAUAACGUAGGGAAACUUACGCUAAUACCGCAUACGACCUACGGGUGAAAGCAGGGGACCUUCGGCCCUUGCCCGAUUGACUGAGCCGAUGUCGGAUUAGCUAGUUGGCGGGGUAAAGGCCCACCAAGGCGACGAUCCGUAGCUGGUCUGAGAGGAUGAACAGCCACACUGGAACUGAGACACGGUCCAGACUCCUACGGGAGGCAGCAGUGGGGAAUAUUGGACAAUGGGCGCAAGCCUGAUCCAGCCAUACCGCGUGGGUGAAGAAGGCCUUCGGGUUGUAAAGCCCUUUUGUUGGGAAAGAAAUCCAGCUGGCUAAUACCCGGUUGGGAUGACGGUACCCAAAGAAUAAGCACCGGCUAACUUCGUGCCAGCAGCCGCCGUAA
This 506-nucleotide ribosomal RNA is filed under the name uncultured bacterium. RNAcentral's name for it is "partial 16S ribosomal RNA". It matches the Rfam family "Bacterial small subunit ribosomal RNA", at positions 29 to 523 of the family's 1533-position model. The record is from RNAcentral.